AAAAAGCUUAGGACAAAUAAAAAUAUUUAUAUUAAAUAUUUAACUUUCUCACAAAAUUUAAUAAUUAUAAUAAUUUUAUUAGUUGAUCAAUUUUCAUAAUUAAUUUAAAUUUAUUUAUAAAUUAAUAAAAUACAAUUACACUCCAACUUUUAUGUGAUUAAAUUUUUUAAUAGCAAAUCAUCUUAUUAUUUGAUCAACUUUUCUAACUAAUUAAAAUUCUUUUAAUU
RNAcentral lists this long non-coding RNA (227 nucleotides) under Lathyrus oleraceus (garden pea). RNAcentral describes it as "Pisum sativum (pea) long non-coding RNA (PSAT_LNC023423)". The record is from RNAcentral. Lineage: Eukaryota; Viridiplantae; Streptophyta; Magnoliopsida; Fabales; Fabaceae.